GAUGAAGAACGCAGUGAAAUGCGAUAAGUAAUGUGAAUUGCAGAAUUCAGUGAAUCAUCGAAUCUUUGAACGCACAUUGCGCCCGCCAGUAUUCUGGCGGGCAUGCCUGUCUGAGCGUCAUUUCAACCCUCAUGCCCCUAGGGCGUGGUGUUGGGGAUCGGCCAAAGCCCGCGAGGGACGGCCGGCCCCUAAAUCUAGUGGCGGACCCGUCGUGGCCUCCUCUGCGAAGUAGUGAUAUUCCGCAUCGGAGAGCGACGAGCCCCUGCCGUUAAACCCCCAACUUUCCAAGGUUGACCUCAGAUCAGGUAGGAAUACCCGCUGAACUUAAGCAUACAAUAAGCGGAGGA
Molecule: unclassified non-coding RNA, 347 nt
Filed under: soil metagenome
Description: partial contains 5.8S ribosomal RNA, internal transcribed spacer 2, and large subunit ribosomal RNA
Rfam family: 5.8S ribosomal RNA (bases 1-120)
Source: RNAcentral